Molecule: ribosomal RNA, 597 nt
Filed under: Papiliotrema aff. laurentii DMKU-RK243
Lineage: Eukaryota; Fungi; Basidiomycota; Tremellomycetes; Tremellales; Rhynchogastremaceae
Also listed under: 4 other names
Description: LSU rRNA
Rfam family: Eukaryotic large subunit ribosomal RNA
Source: RNAcentral
AAACUAACAAGGAUUCCCCUAGUAACGGCGAGUGAACCGGGAAGAGCUCAAAUUUGAAAUCUGGCGUCCUCAGGGCGUCCGAGUUGUAAUCUAUAGAGGCGUUUUCCGUGCCGGACCGUGUCCAAGUCCCUUGGAACAGGGUAUCAAAGAGGGUGACAAUCCCGUACUUGACACGACUACCGGUGCUCUGUGAUACGUCUUCUACGAGUCGAGUUGUUUGGGAAUGCAGCUCAAAAUGGGUGGUGAGUUCCAUCUAAAGCUAAAUAUUGGCGAGAGACCGAUAGCGAACAAGUACCGUGAGGGAAAGAUGAAAAGCACUUUGGAAAGAGAGUUAAACAGUACGUGAAAUUGUUGAAAGGGAAACGAUUGAAGUCAGUCGUGACCGAGAGGCUCAGCCGGCUCUGCCGGUGUAUUCCCCUCGGUCGGGUCAACAUCAGUUUUGUCCGGUGGAUAAGGGCGGCAGGAAUGUGGCACCCUCGGGUGUGUUAUAGCCUGCUGUCGCAUACACCGGGUGAGACUGAGGAACGCAGCUCGCCUUUAUGGCCGGGGCCCGCCCACGUACGAGCUUAGGAUGUUGACGUAAUGGCUUUAAACGAC